Small nucleolar RNA from Trichomycterus rosablanca, 114 nucleotides. RefSeq annotates it as small nucleolar RNA SNORA26. NCBI's taxonomy places the organism in Eukaryota, Metazoa, Chordata, Actinopteri, Siluriformes, Trichomycteridae. The transcript has a single exon. The record is from RefSeq and is a predicted model, not a curated record.
UUGCCCAUUUAAGACUGUUCAUGUCUCAUGUCCUAAAUGAAUAACACAGGGGGGUAGAAGAAUUCUCUCAAAAACCUGAAGUGAUGGCUUCUGAUCCUGUCGGGAGAAAUAAGC